RNAcentral lists this transfer RNA (83 nucleotides) under Nocardioides albus. Its description in RNAcentral is "tRNA-His". Lineage: Bacteria; Bacillati; Actinomycetota; Actinomycetes; Propionibacteriales; Nocardioidaceae. The record is from RNAcentral.
UCGACCUGGUCAGCUCGUUCGACGACGCCGCUGCCGUGGGCAGCGGCAGCCUGGGGCGGCUGGUGCCGACCAAGCAGGUCCGC